This 242-nucleotide ribosomal RNA is filed under the name uncultured bacterium. RNAcentral describes it as "partial 16S ribosomal RNA". It matches the Rfam family "Bacterial small subunit ribosomal RNA", at positions 535 to 776 of the family's 1533-position model. The record is from RNAcentral.
CAAGCGUUGUUCGGAAUUAUUGGGCGUAAAGGGUGCGUAGGUGGUUCGGCAAGUCUUGUGUGAAAUCUUCAGGCUCAACUUGAAGUCUGCACAAGAAACUGCCGGGCUUGAGUAUGGGAGAGGUGAGUGGAAUUCCUGGUGUAGCGGUGAAAUGCGUAGAUAUCAGGAGGAACACCUGUGGCGAAAGCGGCUCACUGGACCAUAACUGACGCUGAUGCACGAAAGCUAGGGGAGCAAACAGG